This 69-nucleotide transfer RNA is filed under the name Ictidomys tridecemlineatus (thirteen-lined ground squirrel). RNAcentral describes it as "Spermophilus tridecemlineatus (thirteen-lined ground squirrel) tRNA". It matches the Rfam family "tRNA". Rfam says of the family: Transfer RNA (tRNA) molecules are approximately 80 nucleotides in length. RNAcentral also lists the same sequence under 1 other name. Lineage: Eukaryota; Metazoa; Chordata; Mammalia; Rodentia; Sciuridae. The record is from Rfam by way of RNAcentral.
GGGGUUGUGGCUCAGAGGUAGAGUGCUUGCCUCACAUGCAUGAGGUAGUGGGUUAGAUUCUCAGCACCA